CGUAGUGGCGCACGGGUGCGUAACGCGUCGGGAAUCUGCCCAAAGGUUCGGAAUAACUCAGGGAAACUUGAGCUAAUACCGGAUAAUGUCGCAAGACCAAAGAUUUAUUGCCUUUGGAUGAGCCCGCGUAGGAUUAGCUAGUUGGUGGGGUAAAAGCCUACCAAGGCGACGAUCCUUAGCUGGUCUGAGAGGAUGAUCAGCCACACUGGGACUGAGACACGGCCCAG
This 227-nucleotide ribosomal RNA is filed under the name uncultured bacterium. Its description in RNAcentral is "partial 16S ribosomal RNA". It matches the Rfam family "Bacterial small subunit ribosomal RNA", at positions 91 to 334 of the family's 1533-position model. The record is from RNAcentral.